GACGAACGCUGGCGGCGUGCUUAACACAUGCAAGUCGAACGGAAAGGCCCUGCUUUUGUGGGGUGCUCGAGUGGCGAACGGGUGAGUAACACGUGAGUAACCUGCCCUUGACUUUGGGAUAACUUCAGGAAACUGGGGCUAAUACCGGAUAGGAGCUCCUGCUGCAUGGUGGGGGUUGGAAAGUUUCGGCGGUUGGGGAUGGACUCGCGGCUUAUCAGCUUGUUGGUGGGGUAGUGGCUUACCAAGGCUUUGACGGGUAGCCGGCCUGAGAGGGUGACCGGCCACAUUGGGACUGAGAUACGGCCCAGACUCCUACGGGCGGCAGCAGUGGGGAAUAUUGCACAAUGGGCGAAAGCCUGAUGCAGCAACGCCGCGUGCGGGAUGACGGCCUUCGGGUUGUAAACCGCUUUCGCCUGUGACGAAGCGUGAGUGACGGUAAUGGGUAAAGAAGCACCGGCUAACUACGUG
Molecule: ribosomal RNA, 468 nt
Filed under: uncultured bacterium
Lineage: Bacteria
Description: partial 16S ribosomal RNA
Rfam family: Bacterial small subunit ribosomal RNA
Source: RNAcentral